UACGUAGGGGGCAAGCGUUGCCCGGAUUUAUUGGGCGUAAAGCGCUCGCAGGUGGUUCAUUGCGUCGUGCGUGAAAGACCCCGGCUCAACUGGGGAGGGUCGUGCGAAACGGGUGAACUAGAGGCCAGUAGGGGGAUGCGGAAUUCCGGGUGUAGUGGUGGAAUGCGUAGAGAUCCGGAGGAACACCAGCGGCGAAGGCGGCAUCCUGGACUGGUCCUGACACUCAGGAGCGAAAGCGUGGGGAGCGAUCCGG
Molecule: ribosomal RNA, 253 nt
Filed under: uncultured bacterium
Lineage: Bacteria
Description: partial 16S ribosomal RNA
Rfam family: Bacterial small subunit ribosomal RNA
Source: RNAcentral